This 124-nucleotide small nucleolar RNA is filed under the name Dasypus novemcinctus (nine-banded armadillo). Lineage: Eukaryota; Metazoa; Chordata; Mammalia; Cingulata; Dasypodidae. The record is from RNAcentral.
GUGCACUGUUCGUAACCUGUCAACAGCCCUUAACUGGUGAUGAGUUCCAUUCCAGUGCCAUAGAAAUUCCCAAAAUAAUACCAGACUGACUUUGUCAGUCUGAUUUUAUACGUGGGAGACAAAU